AGAAAGUUAGUCUCCAAUAAGAUGCGGGGUUGUCAACUCCGAGAGGUUAUUUAUGUAACACUUUCUU
This 67-nucleotide transfer RNA is filed under the name Lamprotula tortuosa. Its description in RNAcentral is "tRNA-Asp". The record is from RNAcentral. Lineage: Eukaryota; Metazoa; Mollusca; Bivalvia; Unionida; Unionidae.